CACGUAGGGGGCAAGCGUUGUCCGGAAUUAUUGGGCGUAAAGGGCGCGUAGGCGGCUAGAUGUGUCAAAGGUGAAAUCCCUCGGCUCAACUGAGGAACUGCCUUUGAAACUGUCUGGCUUGAGGCCGGGAGAGGGUAGCGGAAUUCCCAGUGUAGCGGUGAAAUGCGUAGAUAUUGGGAGGAACACCAGUGGCGAAGGCGGCUACCUGGACCGGUUCUGACGCUGAGGCGCGAAAGCGUGGGUAGCAAACAGG
RNAcentral lists this ribosomal RNA (253 nucleotides) under uncultured bacterium. RNAcentral's name for it is "partial 16S ribosomal RNA". It matches the Rfam family "Bacterial small subunit ribosomal RNA", at positions 524 to 776 of the family's 1533-position model. The record is from RNAcentral.